Molecule: long non-coding RNA, 439 nt
Filed under: Pan troglodytes (chimpanzee)
Lineage: Eukaryota; Metazoa; Chordata; Mammalia; Primates; Hominidae
Description: lincRNA
Source: RNAcentral
UUUUAAAGAAACAAAUUUAAUUGAUUUCCAAGGCUUGAGUGUGAUUAAAAAAAAAAAAUUAAAAGGUAAACUUCACCGUGCAGGAAGAAGCAUAGGAAAAGAGAGAGAGAAAAGAACAAAGAAAAAAAAAAAGAAUAGCAAGUCUCUCCAAGUACUAUGGAAACAAACAGAAAGUGGAAUUAGGAAAAAAGAGAGGAAGAAGGUCUGAGUAGUCCAAGGGACAUGGGAGGCCAGUUGGGAAGACCUCCCGGGCGAGACCAGGAAGAUCAAGGCCACAGUGAAUCACGAUCCCAUCCCUCUGCUCAACCUGAAUUGUACUGCUGCUGGCGAGAGAGAUCUGGUCGACCUUAGACAUGGCAAGGCAAGAGGUGAGGUCCAUCAGGUCAACCUUGGUCCAACGCUUACAGCCGACAUCUCUCUCAAAAUAAAUAAACAAAUC